Molecule: unclassified non-coding RNA, 543 nt
Filed under: Hevea brasiliensis (rubber tree)
Lineage: Eukaryota; Viridiplantae; Streptophyta; Magnoliopsida; Malpighiales; Euphorbiaceae
Source: RNAcentral
UUUUUUUUUUUUUUAAAUCUUUGCAGAUUGCACAAUUUCCUGUUUAUCAUUGAGGUCACUACCCAAAUGAUAUUAAUUUAAAAGAUCUUUUCAUAUAUAUACAUUAAUUUCCAUAGAAAUCGUCACCACUGCUCCAAGAUUUCAAAUUGAAAUCUCAAUCAGAAACAAAUGGAUAAAAAAAAAAAGAUUUUUGGUAUAAAUUAAUUAUCCCUGAAGAAAUAGUUUAAAUGCUUAAAUGCCCAAUAAUCUGUGUUUAUUUUGUUAACACAUUAAGACAAUAGUACCCCAAAAUUAAAAACAAAAACAUAUGAUGCAGAAACAUAAACAAGUGUGAUCCAGUAACAUUGGAGCACAUCUCCAUGAAGACAAAAAAAGGAGAAGGCUCAAGCAGAAAGGAUAUUGCUAUACGCACAGAUAAAAUCCUGGAAACUGCAAUCUUUGCUCCCAAGAAGAACUAUGUGCGACAUUUAAAUAAAUCUAUCCUUCAAACACUAACCCAAAAUCUCAGAUGCCAGUCGCCGCUCAAAGAGGGAUUACUUCGUG